GUUGUACUCCCUCCGUCUUAAAAUUCUUGUCUUAGAUUUGUCUAAAUACGGAUGUAUCAAGUCAUGUUUGAAUAUUAGAUACAUCUGUAUCUAGACAAAUCUAAGACAAGCAUUUUCGGACGGAGGGAGCAGUAU
Triticum aestivum (bread wheat) is the source of this 135-nucleotide non-coding RNA. Lineage: Eukaryota; Viridiplantae; Streptophyta; Magnoliopsida; Poales; Poaceae. The record is from Rfam.